RNAcentral lists this ribosomal RNA (502 nucleotides) under uncultured Desulfobulbus sp. Its description in RNAcentral is "bacterial SSU rRNA". It matches the Rfam family "Bacterial small subunit ribosomal RNA", at positions 903 to 1382 of the family's 1533-position model. The record is from RNAcentral. Lineage: Bacteria; Pseudomonadati; Thermodesulfobacteriota; Desulfobulbia; Desulfobulbales; Desulfobulbaceae.
CCACGCCGCUCAAGAACUACAAAGGAAUUGACGGGGCCGCACAAGCGUGGAGUAUGUGGUUUAAUUCGAUGCAACGCGAAGAACCUUACCUGGUCUUGACAUCCCGGAGACCCUUAGGAAACUAGGGGGUGCUUCCAUCUGGAAGAAUCUGGAGACAGGUGCUGCAUGGCUGUCGUCAGCUCGUGUCGUGAGAUGUUGGGUUAAGUCCCGCAACGAGCGCAACCCUUGCCUUUAGUUGCCAGCAGUUCGGCUGGGCACUCUAAAGGGACUGCCGGUGUUAAACCGGAGGAAGGUGGGGAUGACGUCAAGUCCUCAUGGCCUUUAUGACCAGGGCUACACACGUACUACAAUGGCCGAUACAAAGGGCAGCGACACUGCGAGGUGAAGCCAAUCCCGUAAAAUCGGUCUCAGUCCGGAUUGGAGUCUGCAACUCGACUCCAUGAAGUUGGAAUCGCUAGUAAUCGUGGAUCAGCAUGCCACGGUGAAUACGUUCCCGGGCCUU